UACCACUAUUGAGAAAUUGUUUUGACAAACAUCAGUAAAAGCUCAUAUUUCAUGGAUAUUACUGUAGAGCACGUGAUACAAUAAAUGUUUGUAAAGUAAAGAAAGGUCUUGGUUUGACCUAGGAUUGGCACUAUAACGUCAUGGAAGAUCUUUAUAAAUUGAGGCAAUUCCGAUAAUGAUUUCAGCUUCAUUAGAAAAUUGUCAGGGAUCACAGCUGACUUAUUUCUCUUUUUCGGAUUUGGAGGAGAAAACUCUAAUUGUCAAUAAAAAUGAACCGAUUGUUCUUGUUCGUGCUUGCCGUAGCAUUGCUCAUUGCCUCCGCCCUUGCCUUUCCAAAAACGAUGGCAAAAUCGGGAAUGUGGUCUGAAACAAAGUUUUGUCAAACUAAAUGCGACAGAAGAUUAGAAUACUGUGAUGCCCUAUGUACCAUCAAAUAUGGCGAAGAUCGUACUGGAGAAGAUCCGUUCCAAUAUAAAAGAUGCCUAGAUGAUUGUGCUAACACAUACCUUUACCAAUGCCUCAGCAAAUGCUUUUAAUUGAUGAUUGAUUCAAAAGUUGGAGAACAUUGUCAAUAGAAUGAAUGUUUAUGUACAAUAAACAUUUUAAAUUAAAAAGAUCUUUAAACAUCUUACAAUUUCGCCCUUCCUUUUCAACCCAUGAGUAAUCUUCUUUAUCUGUGAUAUUUGUUCAUAGUAUUUGAAUGUAUGCCUAACAAAUAUUGUCUUUGUCGCUACUUAUUAUACAGGCUCAAAAUUAGGCAAUUAGACAAUGUCUGAUUAAUAAAUAAAUACUUUUGUUAUUUUGUUAAGGGCGUAUCAAAUAUCAUUAUAAAAAUCGACAAAUGGCUUACACUUUUUUGUACUCAGGAUUAAAAAAUAAAUAAACGUAACAAAAUGA
This is a long non-coding RNA of Ruditapes philippinarum (Manila clam), 897 nucleotides long. RefSeq lists it as uncharacterized. The record is from RefSeq and is a predicted model, not a curated record. Lineage: Eukaryota; Metazoa; Mollusca; Bivalvia; Venerida; Veneridae. The transcript has 2 exons.